GGUGGCUCAGUGGUAGAGUGUUUGCCUAUCAUGCAUGAAGCCCUGGGUUUGAUUCCUUGGCACCA
RNAcentral lists this transfer RNA (65 nucleotides) under Dipodomys ordii (Ord's kangaroo rat). It matches the Rfam family "tRNA". Rfam says of the family: Transfer RNA (tRNA) molecules are approximately 80 nucleotides in length. Their secondary structure includes four short double-helical elements and three loops (D, anti-codon, and T loops). Further hydrogen bonds mediate the characteristic L-shaped molecular structure. tRNAs have two regions of fundamental functional importance: the anti-codon, which is responsible for specific mRNA codon recognition, and the 3' end, to which the tRNAs corresponding amino acid is attached (by aminoacyl-tRNA synthetases). tRNAs cope with the degeneracy of the genetic code in two manners: having more than one tRNA (with a specific anti-codon) for a particular amino acid; and 'wobble' base-pairing, i.e. permitting non-standard base-pairing at the 3rd anti-codon position. Lineage: Eukaryota; Metazoa; Chordata; Mammalia; Rodentia; Heteromyidae. The record is from Rfam by way of RNAcentral.